This 72-nucleotide transfer RNA is filed under the name Thaumastocoris safordi. RNAcentral's name for it is "tRNA-Lys". The record is from RNAcentral. Lineage: Eukaryota; Metazoa; Arthropoda; Insecta; Hemiptera; Thaumastocoridae.
CAUUAAGUGGCUGAAAUAUUAAGUAACGGUCUCUUAAACCGAUAUAUAGUGUUUAAUAAACACUCUUAAUGA